UACGAAGGGGGCUAGCGUUGCUCGGAAUCACUGGGCGUAAAGCGUGCGCAGGCGGUCUGCUAAGAGAGAUGUGAAAUCCCCGGGCUUAACCUGGGAACUGCGUUUCUAACUGGCAGGCUUGAGUGUGGCAGAGGGGGGUGGAAUUCCACGUGUAGCAGUGAAAUGCGUAGAGAUGUGGAGGAACACCGAUGGCGAAGGCAGCCCCCUGGGCUAACACUGACGCUCAUGCACGAAAGCGUGGGGAGCAAACAGG
RNAcentral lists this ribosomal RNA (253 nucleotides) under uncultured bacterium. Its description in RNAcentral is "partial 16S ribosomal RNA". It matches the Rfam family "Bacterial small subunit ribosomal RNA", at positions 524 to 776 of the family's 1533-position model. The record is from RNAcentral.